GGAUGUGAGGGUCAUCUGGCUUCAACAUCUGUCAUCCCACUGAUCAGGAGGAUUGGUUCUACUGAUCUGGCUGGCCAGGCCAGUGUCCUCUCCUCUCACCACUCCAUGUGUGUUCCUCCUAAUGCUGUACACUUGGUCGAAGAGGAUGACCUUCCUCACUAGCUGAGGACCAUCCUUCAGUCAAGGAUAUACAAGGGUAUAGUUGUGCUCCUCUGCUAGAACCUCCAAACAAACUCUCAAGAGAAGGCCAACGGGUAUUGAGUAGUUAGCACACUUAACCCUGCCCAAAGGCCAAUCCUAUAUU
Molecule: small nuclear RNA, 304 nt
Filed under: Castor canadensis (American beaver)
Lineage: Eukaryota; Metazoa; Chordata; Mammalia; Rodentia; Castoridae
Description: 7SK RNA (ENSCCNG00000012378.1)
Rfam family: 7SK RNA
About the family: 7SK was discovered as an abundant small nuclear RNA in the mid-70s but a possible function has only recently been suggested. Two independent studies have found that 7SK RNA binds the CDK9/cyclin T complex (known as elongation factor P-TEFb).
Source: RNAcentral